This 511-nucleotide ribosomal RNA is filed under the name uncultured bacterium. RNAcentral describes it as "bacterial SSU rRNA". It matches the Rfam family "Bacterial small subunit ribosomal RNA", at positions 335 to 865 of the family's 1533-position model. The record is from RNAcentral.
CACCUACGGGAGGCAGCAGUUGGGAAUCUUGGACAAUGGGGGAAACCCUGAUCCAGCCAUGCCGCGUGAGUGAUGAAGGCCUUCGGGUUGUAAAACUCUUUCGACGGGGACGAUAAUGACGGUACCCGUAGAAGAAGCUCCGGCUAACUUCGUGCCAGCAGCCGCGGUAAUACGAAGGGGGCUAGCGUUGUUCGGAAUUACUGGGCGUAAAGCGCGCGCAGGCGGUCUUCCAAGUCAGUGGCGAAAGCCCGGAGCUCAACUCCGGAACUGCCAUUGAAACUGUUAGACUUGAGGACGAGAGAGGUGAGUGGAAUUCCCAGUGUAGAGGUGAAAUUCGUAGAUAUUGGGAAGAACACCGGUGGCGAAGGCGGCUCACUGGCUCGUAUCUGACGCUCAGGCGCGAUAGCGUGGGGAUCAAACAGGAUUAGAUACCCUGGUAGUCCACGCCGUAAACGAUGAAUGCUAGCCGUUGGGUAGCUUGCUAUUCAGUGGCGCAGCUAACGCAUUAAGC